Molecule: transfer RNA, 66 nt
Filed under: Oryctes nasicornis
Lineage: Eukaryota; Metazoa; Arthropoda; Insecta; Coleoptera; Scarabaeidae
Description: tRNA-Trp
Source: RNAcentral
AAGGAUUUAAGUUAAGAAAACUAAGAACCUUCAAAGUUCUAAAUAAAGUUACAACUUUAAGCCUUA